AGUGAACGCUGGCGGUAGGCCUAACACAUGCAAGUCGAACGGCAGCACAGUAAGAGCUUGCUCUUACGGGUGGCGAGUGGCGGACGGGUGAGGAAUACAUCGGAAUCUACUUUUUCGUGGGGGAUAACGUAGGGAAACUUACGCUAAUACCGCAUACGACCUACGGGUGAAAGCAGGGGAUCUUCGGACCUUGCGCGAUUGAAUGAGCCGAUGUCGGAUUAGCUAGUUGGCGGGGUAAAGGCCCACCAAGGCGACGAUCCGUAGCUGGUCUGAGAGGAUGAUCAGCCACACUGGAACUGAGACACGGUCCAGACUCCUACGGGGGGCAGCAGUGGGGAAUAUUGGACAAUGGGCGCAAGCCUGAUCCAGCCAUACCGCGUGAGUGAAGAAGGCCUUCGGGUUGUAAAGCCCUUUUGUUGGGAAAGAAAAGCAGCAGGUUAAUACCCCGCUGUUCUGACGGUACCCAAAGAAUAAGCACCGGCUAACUUCGUG
This 492-nucleotide ribosomal RNA is filed under the name uncultured bacterium. RNAcentral describes it as "partial 16S ribosomal RNA". It matches the Rfam family "Bacterial small subunit ribosomal RNA", at positions 29 to 507 of the family's 1533-position model. The record is from RNAcentral.